Molecule: unclassified non-coding RNA, 335 nt
Filed under: soil metagenome
Description: partial contains 5.8S ribosomal RNA, internal transcribed spacer 2, and large subunit ribosomal RNA
Rfam family: 5.8S ribosomal RNA (bases 1-120)
Source: RNAcentral
GAUGAAGAACGUAGCGAAAUGCGAUAAGAAAUGUGAAUUGCAGAAUUCAGUGAAUCAUCGAAUCUUUGAACGCACAUUGCGCCCAUUAGCAUUCUAGUGGGCAUGCCUGUUCGAGCGUCAUUUCAACCCUUAAGCCCUGUUGCUUAGCGUUGGGAGCCUACAGUACUGUAGCUCCCCAAAGUUAGUGGCGGAGUCGGUUUCACACUCUAGACGUAGUAAUUUUUUCUCGUCUGUAGUUGAGCCGGUCCCCUGCCGUAAAACACCCAAUUUAUCAAGGUUGACCUCGGAUCAGGUAGGAAUACCCGCUGAACUUAAGCAUAUCAAUAAGCGGAGGA